This 253-nucleotide ribosomal RNA is filed under the name uncultured bacterium. RNAcentral's name for it is "partial 16S ribosomal RNA". It matches the Rfam family "Bacterial small subunit ribosomal RNA", at positions 524 to 776 of the family's 1533-position model. The record is from RNAcentral.
UACGAAGGGGGCUAGCGUUGCUCGGAAUCACUGGGCGUAAAGCGCACGUAGGCGGAUUGUUAAGUCAGGGGUGAAAUCCUGGAGCUCAACUCCAGAACUGCCUUUGAUACUGUCGAUCUCGAGUCCGGGAGAGGUGAGUGGAACUGCGAGUGUAGAGGUGAAAUUCGUAGAUAUUCGCAAGAACACCAGUGGCGAAGGCGGGUCACUGGCCCGGUACUGACGCUGAGGUGCGAAAGCGUGGGGAGCAAACAGG